Quercus robur (English oak) is the source of this 2524-nucleotide long non-coding RNA. RefSeq lists it as uncharacterized. The record is from RefSeq and is a predicted model, not a curated record. The transcript is spliced from 2 exons. Lineage: Eukaryota; Viridiplantae; Streptophyta; Magnoliopsida; Fagales; Fagaceae.
GUAAAUUUGGUGAAAAAGUGAUAUGAUUUGAUAUGUGGAGAAGAUUUAUUUUCCUACUUUCUUUAUGUUAAGGGUCUGUACAGUGAGUGUCUUUUUCUUUUGUUAGGGUAAAGUACCAAAGAAUAGUUCAUAAUAUACCAACUUCAAGGAUCUUUCUCAAGGAGCCAAGGGGAGGCAACCCCCUGGCUCCACCCUUGAGUCCAACAACAGUAGAUCAAGAGGGAGAGACUCAAAUUUCGCUUUUGUUUGUAAAAUUCUGUUAAGAGAAAAGACAAUGUGAUCUGUGGAUGUUGAGUACUUUUAAUCAGUUAUUCAGAAUAUUGUAACUAGCUUUAGCUCUUCCACAUGUUGUUGUUUUAAUGUGGUUGUUCAACAAUUAAAAUGUUUUUGCUAAUGUGUUAAAGGUCCUUUCUACACAUAUCUCGCUUUGCUUAUCGAACUAUUGCUACUUGUUGUGGCCAAUAAGGCAGUUGCUUUGAACCAGCUAUGUUGGAUAUGCUUAACAAGCUCCGGUUUCACAAUUUUAACUGAAAUCAUGUUUUAAAAACAUAAUUUAAAAAAUGAGUGUGUAUAGGGUGUGGAAUAAUGAGUGCGAAAUAAGAUUUUCCGUUAUAUAUACAUUGCUAAACAAAGGAGUCAGCUUGAAGAAAGUUGGAAGUGGGUUUGUUGUAACAUGACAAGAACAUUAAGUUUCUCUGCAUGGCAAGGCAAAGAAUGUUGUUAGCAAGAGAAAGCUAGUCAAGAAGGUUGAUUUGCUGAGGCUAGACAUGGCUGACAUAAACAACCUCAAGGAGAUGAUAGUUUUGGCAAUUCACACUGGAAAAAUCUACUUUGUUGUUGAGGUUGUGAAUAAUAUCUCUGCUGAGAGUCCUUUUGGUGGAAACACUGACAAUGCCUCAUCAAAAUAUGACAUUUUCAGAGUACUUCAACAAAAAGUAAGUGAUUUCUUAUCCUGAAUGAUGUUUUGAGCUUAUUGUGUAUUUUUCCCUUUCGAUUCCUCUAUAUAGUUCCAUAGAUAACUCCUGUCAUGACUUCUAAGUGUCUAACACACUUUGUCUUCUAUCCCAUCCUGAAUCUGAGCUAAAUACAAUACAUCAAACAAGGCAUUUACAUACUACAGUUUUCUCAAUCAUGCACCUACCUGCCUCACAACACCGGGUUCCUUGCACUACGCCACCCUUAACCUCCAUAUAGUAGCUCACCUUGUCAGGUACAUGGAUCUCUAUCAUUGAACACAGCCUCCAAUGCUUUUUAGUGAGUUCUAGGGUUGAAUUGGUGCCAAGGGUAAAAGAAAACAAUGGAAAAUGAAAAAGACAUUGCAGAUGGCUCCAAAAAUAUUGGGAAAAUCACUGCAAAUAUCAGGAGGUUCCGGCAAGUCAGAUGGUUUGUUCUUCGGAUUCUGGUGACCUUGUCGGUGCUGACAUUAGCACACCCCUCUCAUUGGAACAUAGCCUCCAGCCUACAAUUACACUUGAUUUGAUCUCUAAACUCAAGCCUACAAACAUCUAUGAUGUGUAUCAAUUUCAAUAUUGAAAUUACUUACUAAAAAAAGAGAUUCAAUAUUGAAAUCUGAGGACACAAGCAGUAAAGAGAAGUAAUCCAUAAAGGUGUAUUCAAAUUAAAUCUAAAAUGGGUCUUUCAUCACUACCUACCGUUUGAAUAUAAGAGGGGAAACACCAUUUGUAGUACCUACAGAUAAACAGCAUAACCUUUUUCACAGCAGUUGAAAGAACUAACAUACUAAUUAUCCAACCAUUAGGCCAAACUAACGUAUCCAAGAAUCAAUAGAAGAUAUCAGGGUGCAUGGAAGCGCUGCGCUUGGUUGGAGUUGCUGCGCUGAAUCUGUUGUAGUUGCUGGUCCAAUUCAUUAGUCCUCGCCUAGAGAAAAUCAAGCAAUUGUCAUCAGGCAAGAGAAAAUUUAGAAAAAAUAGUAUAGUUAAUUCAAUCAAUGAUCCAAUCCAAGUGACCAAUGAAGGAAGACUAAAUGCACAAUUUUUUAUGAAUACAAAAUUCUUUCAAAUGCAACACAAUAUAGCCACAGAACACUCUGCUGCUGACAUGGUAAACAUGGCUGAAAUUCUGUCCAAAUAUAAGAUCAUAUACUUGAGUCAUGAAAUUAUGGGGUUUGUGAGCUAUACCUCUAAAUGCGAUGCCAGUUGUUGCUCACGUACAUACGCUGCCUGAAGAAGUUCUACAAUUUGCUGCAAAAAUUUUAAAACAGCUAAAAAAAUUGAACCGUAUAUACCUCCUGCUAAGUGCUAAUGUUGUUCAAAUAAUCCUUAAAGAACAGCACAAAUUAAGAUAGAUCUCUUCAUGCCUAUAACUUAUCCCUUUUGAAAACACUUUGAUGGACACAAGUUUCUUCCUGUACAUCAACAUCAUCUAGUAUUGGGAAAUUCACAAUAAAUAAAAUAAAGCCUCAAAAGGAAACAAACCAUUCUUAUAUUUAAGGGUAAAAUACAAUUUACUCUAUUGUAGUUUGACUUUAUUUCAAUUUAAUACACUAACUUUCAAAUGUUACAAA